GCUCGCAACGACCUCAAUCUGAGAAAAACCUUGGCGCCUGGCACUUGGAUUGGACUCCUGACACAUUGGCGCAGCCGCUCCUGGUGUAGACAGGGGACAGAAACCCCCGUCCAGUUGCUAAGCACAAUAUCCACACCAGAGGGAAAGGUCCCCGAAGUUCCCCUGUGGUCUGGCUUCCAGAACAGAAGUUAAAGGAGGCGCGCUCCAGGGCUAAGGGUGCACGGGAUAACACGCUGCAGCCCGGUCCUUGGACAACCCCCGACCUGUGCGAGGUUUCCCAGACGGAGAGAAGACUCUGCUGAGAGGCGAUCGAAGCUAAGACCGCAGACGAGGCUCCAGGUGCGCAGGCAGAGGAGAGGCGCGCGCCCUGGGAAAAGCGGCCUCUGCGGGCCGGGCUGGCGGCAGCCCUGGAGCCGGCAGUUUCCAGACCGGAAAGGCGAAGGAGCCUCGUCCCCGGUCCCCGAGGACUGCGUGACUGUGAGUGCGGUGGCGGUUUCCCGGAGCUCCAGGCACCGCGCCGCCUCCUUCCUGAGGGCCCCAGCGUCCGCCGGCACCGCGCCGUUGGCAUCCUUACCUGCGCAAGGCUGCAGGAGGACGAGACUCAGAAGGGACUCUUCGGGGGUGUGCAAGCCGCAGGGGGGGUGUGGGUGAGAAAAAAACUUCCAUCCCGGGUCCAUCCAAAGGCAGCUUCUCGCCGCGUGCUGGGAACUUUGGAGGGAAUUGGAGGGACCGGGGUGGAGAGUCAGGGUAGCUAUGGGGUUGUUGAGGAGAGGAUAGACACAUUGAGAAGCUUGCAUCCCGGCUGUCCUACCCUCUAGCCAAGAAAGCCGUGUGCCUUAGGGGAGACAAAGUUGGUGGUUCCCAUCCCUGCACGUUGUCCCACAGUUCAGACUGGAGUGGGAGGGGGUGAGAAGCCCAGGGAGAACUCCAGGCUCAGGUUAGGGGAGAGGAGGACAGAAGGGUGAGGUCACUGGGGUUCCUGUUUCAGGGCUAUAACUGUGGGGAUUUUUCCAUUUCAGCUUCCCAGAAUUUCCCCCAGGUCUCAAGAACUUCUACGUGGACUGUGCUCCCAGUGUUCAUCCCAGGCUAACUGGACCUUGUCCGGUGCCAGGCCAUCAGAACUGCCACCUCAAGGAAUCCCCACUCUGAGAGCGUACUUGGGUUAAGUAUCCAGAGCUUACUCCCCACCUGCUGGAGAAGGGGGGACUCACUCCUAAGGCCAAUUUCCACCAGGAAAGUGCCCCAGAGGUCAGGGCAUCCAGGUAGCACACUGUCCAAACGCUGAAGUCUGUGGACCAGUAGCAUGGCCCUCACCUGGAUACUGCAGAAGCUCCAGCCCCACCCACUCCCUGCAUCUAACCAGGGGACUUGUGCACAUUCCGGUUGGAGAAGCCCUGGCCUAAUUUACAGAGCCAGAGUUUACCCCUGCUAACUCAUCCUGCCUUGUGUCUCCCAGCCUCAUCUUGAACCUCUGUCAAAUGGUAGGUGUUUCUGAGGUCGCUGGGGAACUUUUUAGCACCCCUGAAACCACUUCAGACCAAUGACAAGAAAAUCUCUAGUGGGUGGAACCUGGCAGGAAUGCAGUAGUAAAUGUCCCAGAUGAUUCUAAUAGCCAGGAAGAACUAAUAUAGAAAUAACCCCCUUUACAGGUUCACUGAGAUACAGCUUGGACCCUAUGCAAGACUGUGAGUACACUGUGAGAACACCACUGGCUCUAUAGCCAGAUUCACUCUGGCCCCAGCAGAAAUGGCCUUGAGCCAGCUAAUUACCCUGACUGUGCCUCAGUUUCCUUACCUUGUAAAAUGGUGUUGAGAAUAAUGCCCAACCACAAAGGGUGGGGUUCAGAUGUAGAACCAAACUUUUAGAAUCAAAUUCAAUGAAUCUUCACUUACAAUGCCACAGUCCUCAAUCUCUCAUUUUAAGCCUAAUGAUUUAUCUCUCCCCUCCUUUGUCCCAAGAAGUCCUCUUCCAGGGGCCAAGAGCUUGGCUUGGCUUCAAUAUUCACGUCUAUUUUUUCAACAUUUUGAACGUGAAAACUAAUAUUUUAUAUCACCUAGCCAUUUAAUAAACCCAGUCAUCUGCAAAGAUUUAUUUUUGCAAUUCCAGAAGCACUAGCCAGUUCUGUGGCUAACCAUGGCAGCCAUUGAAUGAAAAUACCUGGAUGAGAUGCUGAUUCUAUGAUUGUGUAGAUCUGGGGAGGGGCAGAGCAAUUACAUCUCUAACAAACCCCCAAGUAAUACAGAUGCUUCUGGUCAGAAGGGACCACACUCUGCAAACUGUGGUGCCACAUGAAUGGUCUGCUCUGAGCCUGGUGGAAAUCUCAACAGCAACACUAUCCAUAGAA
Long non-coding RNA from Mustela lutreola (European mink), 2344 nucleotides. RefSeq lists it as uncharacterized. The transcript is spliced from 3 exons. NCBI's taxonomy places the organism in Eukaryota, Metazoa, Chordata, Mammalia, Carnivora, Mustelidae. The record is from RefSeq and is a predicted model, not a curated record.